ACAUUCAAGCACAUGAUUCUUCACCAACAGAUGAAAUUCGUGGUCUUGCUGCUGUUGGUGGGGCUCGCUGCCUGCGUGCCGCAGCGGGGGUUCAGUAAGAACAGGGGCCGCCAGCAGUUCAACAGGGGAGGCGGUUUCAGAGAUGAUGGUGGAAACAGAGGAGGCCAGGUCCACCACUCGGAAGGAGGUAUUGAUUACAACUACUCCUGGCGGAACGGCCAGAGUCAGCUGACCGGCGGUGGAGCAGAAUCUUACUGCAGAGGGCUGGGCGGUGGAUGGGCUGCUGUUACCAUUGACUCUCCUGCGAAGAACAGCUUUAUCUAUGGUCUGAUUAGGAAUGAGAGACUCCAAUACAUCUGGACGGGAGCCCGUAAGAGCGGCAGAGGUUUCACCUGGGCCAAUGGUAGUCCCGUCACCUUUGCUGACUGGUCCCACACCGGCGGGAGAGGACGUCCUCAGCCAGACAACCGUGAAGGGAAUGAAGAUUGUCUCGCCGUGCUGGACAAUAUUUACAAUGAUGGGCUCAAAUGGCACGACGUCGCAUGCUCCCACAGGAAACCCACCGUGUGUGAGCGCAGGAGCUAGGAUGCCUGUCUUCAUCACAUUUCACCAGAUGUCCUUAUCUUCCCCCUGACAGCCAUGAUGAAAAGCUUUUCUCCGCACUCCUUUCUCUUCCCAACCAAUGCCUGUCUUUUAUAAUUCCCCAUGUGAGAGAGAUCUUGCGACUUUCUGUAUUUUCGUGUGUGAUUAUCAGAUAUUGUCUUCCUUAUCUGUACACUGUAUUUAUCUAAAUUCUCUCUCUCUCUCUCUCUCUCUCUCUCUCUCUCUCUCUCUCUCUCUCUCUCUCUCUCUCUCUCUGUAUUCAAAUUAUUAUGGUAACCAUUGUCAUUCUAAAUAUGUAUUUAUUGAGCAAUUCGCCUCACCCAACUUAUGAUAUUCUUAUGAAAGGAAAUAAAAUGUGAUAAAGUAUUUGACAUAUUCUUUUCAAAAGCGGGAAAAUUUAUUUUUCAUCUCAUGCACACGCUAUAAAAAAAAUAUUAAAAUAAAAUACCAACUCUUACUAUAACAACACGAAUACAACAUCAGUAAAAAAUAAAUAAAUAAAUAAAUAAAUAAAUAAAAAAACUCUUAUUCAGUGCUAAAAACAGGCUAUGCCUUCGGCGGCUCUGGCCACCUACAGCUAGCCAAGAUUGCGUCUCCCUGUAUAUGACUUGACCUCUUUCAAGAGGAGUGUAGGGGGCUCCUGUGGUCCAGUGGCUGAGUCUCCGCCUUCCGCUCCGGUUGGGGGGGGGAGGGGGGUGCUGGAGCGUAUAGGUUCGAGUCCUACCCGGUUCCAUUGGAGUGGAAAGGUUGGGGGCUCUUUCCGACACCCCCAGCCCGUUGUUGGGCCUUCUCCACUUGAAAGAAUUGGGCAUCUCUCUACCCGACGUCUUGGUGGUUGCGCGGCAUGCACCGCCUUCCUCCCUUCGGGUAUAUCCCCAACGAAAUACCGAAAAAAAAAAAGGGGUAUGAAGACACCUCGCCAUCCGAAAUUGACCUCUCUUUUGGCAACUCUAUACUAAUCGCUUUUUGUUGCCCUCUCUGUGCUGUAAAACAAAAAAAAGUUCGCAAAGUGUCACUGAUAAUAAAGAAUAAUUUUGAUUUGUCCACAUUCGUAAAACCAUUAAGUAUUUUAAAACAUUCAAUCAGUUUUCCUCGGAGGCAACGUUUCUCAAGAAAGAACAUGUUUUAAAGGGUGGAGAGCAUCUCGUCGUAGGGUUUGUUGAGCAAGGAAUGGAUCAUUUUUGUUGCCUGACGUUGUACACCUUCUAAUUUAGCAAUGUCCUUUUUACAUGGUGGGGAGAUCAAAACUGUACUGCAUAUUUUAAGUGGGGUCUGACUAAACUACUGUAAAGCGGAAGUAUUACUUCUUUAUUUUUUUAAUAAAAAGUUUCUUUUAGGGAAGCCCUACAUUGUUUGCUUUUUUUUUGCUGCAUCGAUGUUUUGCUGUGAGAAUUUGAGGUUUGACGUGAUUUU
Molecule: RNA transcript, 2016 nt
Organism: Eriocheir sinensis (Chinese mitten crab)
Lineage: Eukaryota; Metazoa; Arthropoda; Malacostraca; Decapoda; Varunidae
Gene name: L-selectin-like
Exons: 7
Source: RefSeq, a predicted model, not a curated record